Molecule: transfer RNA, 73 nt
Filed under: Marmota marmota marmota (Alpine marmot)
Lineage: Eukaryota; Metazoa; Chordata; Mammalia; Rodentia; Sciuridae
Also listed under: 2 other names
Rfam family: tRNA
About the family: Transfer RNA (tRNA) molecules are approximately 80 nucleotides in length. Their secondary structure includes four short double-helical elements and three loops (D, anti-codon, and T loops). Further hydrogen bonds mediate the characteristic L-shaped molecular structure. tRNAs have two regions of fundamental functional importance: the anti-codon, which is responsible for specific mRNA codon recognition, and the 3' end, to which the tRNAs corresponding amino acid is attached (by aminoacyl-tRNA synthetases). tRNAs cope with the degeneracy of the genetic code in two manners: having more than one tRNA (with a specific anti-codon) for a particular amino acid; and 'wobble' base-pairing, i.e. permitting non-standard base-pairing at the 3rd anti-codon position.
Source: Rfam by way of RNAcentral
GGGGAUAUAGCUCAGUUGGUAGAGUGCCUGCCUUGCAUGCACAAGGCCCUGGGUUCAAUCCCCAGCACCCCCC